Molecule: unclassified non-coding RNA, 280 nt
Filed under: rhizosphere metagenome
Description: partial ribosomal RNA internal transcribed spacer region
Source: RNAcentral
GUAGGUGAACCUGCGGAAGGAUCAUUACCAAAUCCAAAUACCCAAACCCCAUGUGAACUAUUGUAUAGUCUGUCUUUGGGAGAAAAAACGAAAAUAUACUAGUAAGAACUUCGGUUUUUUCUUUUCUAUCGGAAGUUUUUCUCCCAAUAGAGUCCGGCGCAACUUUAUUGUUGUGUCCAGAUUCGAAACCCCUUUUUAAACCACUUGAUUUUUCUGUUGGAAUUUACUUUUAUUAAUUAUAAAUAAAAGACAACUUUUAACGGUGGAUCUCUUGGCUCGU